UUAUUGUACUACGGCCACUUAUUGUAGGGGGAUAUUGGUUCGCAAACUGUCCACGCUUUCGGGUAUGGCUUUUGCACGCUCUACGAGUGUUCCCCUCUAUCAUGUGUCCUAGAUAGAUUUUCUUUGGCUCCGUUUAUGGAUACACGCUAGAUGUCCCUUUCGAGGGCGUCUCUGAGCAGUGAUUCUUACCGCCGGUUGCCACAUCU
RNAcentral lists this small nucleolar RNA (206 nucleotides) under Neurospora crassa. Its description in RNAcentral is "box H/ACA snoRNA ACA4". The record is from RNAcentral. Lineage: Eukaryota; Fungi; Ascomycota; Sordariomycetes; Sordariales; Sordariaceae.